AGCAGGACCAGCUCAGGCAUCUCAAGCGCUUUAAUGUGGGUGAAGAUUGCCCUGUCUUUGAUGGCCUCUACUCCUUCUGUCAAACUUAUGCCGGUGGCUCUGUUGGUGGUGCUGUCAAAUUAAACCAUGGUCUUUGUGACAUUGCUAUCAAUUGGGCCGGCGGCCUUCAUCAUGCUAAGAAGUGUGAAGCUUCUGGCUUUUGCUAUGUCAAUGAUAUUGUCCUUGCAAUCUUGGAGCUUCUUAAACAGCAUGAGCGUGUUCUUUAUGUGGAUAUUGACAUUCACCAUGGUGAUGGUGUGGAGGAGGCAUUUUACACCACUGAUAGGGUCAUGACUGUUUCAUUUCACAAAUUUGGAGAUUAUUUUCCAGGUACAGGGGAUGUACGUGAUGUUGGAUAUGGGAAAGGGAAAUACUAUUCCCUUAAUGUUCCAUUGGAUGAUGGAAUAGACGAUGAGAGCUAUCAUUUCCUUUUUAAACCAAUAAUUGGAAAAGUAAUGGAAUUCUUUAAGCCUGGUGCUGUGGUUCUUCAAUGUGGCGCUGACUCGUUAUCUGGGGAUAGAUUAGGAUGCUUCAAUCUUUCAAUCAAGGGCCAUGCAGAGUGUGUGAAAUUCAUGAGAUCUUUCAAUGUCCCAUUAUUGCUAUUGGGUGGUGGUGGUUAUACCAUUCGGAAUGUUGCUCGCUGCUGGUGCUAUGAGACAGGAGUUGCACUUGGAAUGGAAGUUGAUAACAAGAUGCCACAGCAUGAGUAUUAUGAAUACUUUGGUCCUGACUAUACCCUCCAUGUUGCUCCUAGUAAUAUGGAGAAUAAGAAUUCGCGUCAAUUGCUGGAUGAUAUACGAUCCAAGCUUCUUGAUAAUCUCUUGAAGCUUCAACAUGCACCCAGUGUCCAAUUUCAGGAAAGACCACCCAAUACUGAGCUCCCAGAGGUGGAUGAAGAUCAGGAUGAUGGAGAUGAGAGAUGGGAUAUGGAUUAUGACAUGGAUGUUGAUGAUGAGCGCAAGUCUUUACCAAGCAGAGUGAAGAAAGAAUUAGUUGAGGCUGAGCCGAAAGAUCUGGAGAGUCAGAAAGGAAUUGCUGAGCAUGCUAGAGGCUUUGAAACAACUACAGAUGAGACCGCUGGUGCUAAGGCUUUAGAUGUGGGUCCAAUGCAAAUUGAUGAAUCAAGUUUAAAGGUCGAACAGGAAAAUUUGAGCAAGACAUCUGAUCAAGUGUUCACCAAAUCAUAAGUACAAAUCCAAAUCAGCCAAAUUGUUUAUGUAAGCAACUAGGCAUUGUUGAGUUUGUGGGUGAGUCUCUAAACUUGUACAAGCUAUGAAAACCUAAAUGAUUUUGUUUCCAAUUAUGGAUUGUUUAAAGGAACAAGUUGUAUUCAUAUUGUGAAAACUUGAGUGAAUCUCAAAAAAUGAUUUAAAUA
RNAcentral lists this unclassified non-coding RNA (1414 nucleotides) under Hevea brasiliensis (rubber tree). The record is from RNAcentral. Lineage: Eukaryota; Viridiplantae; Streptophyta; Magnoliopsida; Malpighiales; Euphorbiaceae.